ACCCUAAUUAUCAAAUAUAUAUUCAAAUUAAUAAUUAUUAAAUUUCUUUGUUAAUUCAAAAUAAUUUAAAAUAAUUAUUUUGAAUUAACAAAGAAAUUUAAUAAUUAUUAAUUUGAAUAUAUAUUUGAUAAUUAGGGUGAAGUCGUAACAUGGUAGUGGUAGGUGAACCUGCAGAAGGAUCAAGCUCGGCUGAGCGUCGUCUAGGGAAUGAGUGCAGAUCUCGGUGGUCGCCGCUUCAUUCCUACAUAUUUCCACCUUUUCUUCCACUUUAUUUCCC
This 277-nucleotide unclassified non-coding RNA is filed under the name sea anemone metagenome. RNAcentral's name for it is "partial contains small subunit ribosomal RNA and internal transcribed spacer 1". The record is from RNAcentral.